This 987-nucleotide long non-coding RNA is filed under the name Haliotis rufescens (red abalone). Its description in RNAcentral is "uncharacterized LOC124128495". The record is from RNAcentral. Lineage: Eukaryota; Metazoa; Mollusca; Gastropoda; Lepetellida; Haliotidae.
UCAUCUGGUUGCAUUGUAAACAUAAAAUUAUGCCAAUUAUGUGACUAGAUUAGUCUUUUGAGGAGAAAAUGUGGUACAAAAUUAGCCUAAAAAGGCCAAAAUUGGCCAGCUUCAAAGACAAUUUUCAAGUAACCAAGCAUUCUCUUAUAUCAAAGUUCAACCAUUUUUCUCUCUGUUUCAAUGGUUUUUAUCAUGGUUCCAAACUCAGUGUUGGUGUGGGAAUGAUUAAAAGAAAUUCUACUUUGGGAGCGUCCACACUCCCACUUUCACCACUGAUUGUCACUUCAAUACGGAUUAAUCAUGUUAAUACUAAAAUUACUUUAAUUUACUAUUCAGGUUCCCUUCGAGUCACAGCUGAUUUCUUUGAAAACGAGAAAUCAGAAGUUUGCAGUUACAUUAAGAGGUGGGGACAAGGACGUGGUGAGAGACACAACUGGUUUGUUACCAAGUAUCCCUACCAUGAAGUCAAGGCUUGAUUUGGGUCAGAUUUUGUGUCUGCUGAAAUGUAUGGGCACAUACUUCAGUGGCUGGGGCAAUCCUUGACACGCCGUCUAGUGAGAGAUAAACGUCGCCCUUACACUAAGCCAGUGACUCAGAUCUUUACUGUGCCGGAACUUCCAAUGGAGUACACACAGGCUGCAUGGCACUGCAUCGGUAUGUGGCCAUUAAGGAAGUAAUCAUAUUCCUUGCUGAGAAACUGACAGGGAGAACCUACUCUUCAAUCAACCCAGAGUGUCAAAGGACAGAAUUGCAUUCAAAAGAGCUUUAAUUGCAUAAUUAUGAUGCUCCUUUGAAAGGGUUACUGUUUUAAUGAAUGCAGCCAACUCAUUGAUGCCUUGAUGUGGUUUGGUUGUUCUCUGUACCUUUCUUUCAUUCACAUAUGGACCCGUGAAGAUUCCAGGGUAGAAUAGGUCUUCAGCAACCAUCCUUGCCGUAAAAGGCGACUAUGCUUGUUGUAAAAGGCGACUAACAGGAUCGGGUGGUCAG